RNAcentral lists this transfer RNA (72 nucleotides) under Bos taurus (domestic cattle). It matches the Rfam family "tRNA". From Rfam's summary of the family: Transfer RNA (tRNA) molecules are approximately 80 nucleotides in length. RNAcentral also lists the same sequence under 5 other names. Lineage: Eukaryota; Metazoa; Chordata; Mammalia; Artiodactyla; Bovidae. The record is from Rfam by way of RNAcentral.
UCCCUGGUGGCUCAGACGGUAAAGCGUCUGCCUACAAUGCUGGAGACCUGGGUUCGAUCCCUGGGUCGGGAA